RNAcentral lists this ribosomal RNA (433 nucleotides) under uncultured bacterium. RNAcentral describes it as "partial 16S ribosomal RNA". It matches the Rfam family "Bacterial small subunit ribosomal RNA", at positions 29 to 507 of the family's 1533-position model. The record is from RNAcentral.
AACGAACGCUGGCGGCAUGCCUAACACAUGCAAGUCGAACGAGACCUUCGGGUCUAGUGGCGCACGGGUGCGUAACGCGUGGGAACCUGCCUUUAGGUUCGGAAUAACUCAGAGAAAUUUGAGCUAAUACCGGAUGAUGUCUUCGGACCAGAGAUUUAUCGCCUUUAGAUGGGCCCGCGUUGGAUUAGCUAGUUGGUGGGGUAAAGGCCUACCAAGGCGACGAUCCAUAGCUGGUCUGAGAGGAUGAUCAGCCACACUGGGACUGAGACACGGCCCAGACUCCUACGGGAGGCAGCAGUGGGGAAUAUUGGACAAUGGGCGAAAGCCUGAUCCAGCAAUGCCGCGUGAGUGAUGAAGGCCUUAGGGUUGUAAAGCUCUUUUACCCGAGAUGAUAAUGACAGUAGCGGGAGAAUAAGCUCCGGCUAACUCCGUG